ACUUUAAAAGGAAUCUAGUUACCGU
Molecule: transfer RNA, 25 nt
Filed under: Acanthocercus adramitanus (Hadramaut agama)
Lineage: Eukaryota; Metazoa; Chordata; Lepidosauria; Squamata; Agamidae
Description: partial tRNA-Leu
Source: RNAcentral